GCGGGGUCCUGUCCGUCGGCAAAACUUGGGAGUGUUGUGGAGGCUCGACCGCCUGGGAGGUUUAAAGAGACGUUGUCGGAGGUCAGAAGUUGGUUGGAUCCCCGGAGGGUGACUCCUGUCACAAACUUCGGUUGGGGGGGUAUUUUAUAUCCAACAGAUAGAAAAAGAGAAUAGAAUAGCAAACUAAUCAAGUUGAGAGAAGAGAAAAAGAGAGAGAGACAGGUGUGUAAAAAGAGAGGCCCUUCAUCUUCUAUAUCUCUCCCUUUGUUGCCACCUCUUCUCCUUGGGUGUGGAUCCUUCUUGGGCAUCUCACCUACUGG
RNAcentral lists this long non-coding RNA (320 nucleotides) under Elaeis guineensis (African oil palm). RNAcentral's name for it is "long non-coding RNA (EGUI_LNC032552)". Lineage: Eukaryota; Viridiplantae; Streptophyta; Magnoliopsida; Arecales; Arecaceae. The record is from RNAcentral.